This 302-nucleotide long non-coding RNA is filed under the name Ananas comosus (pineapple). RNAcentral describes it as "long non-coding RNA (ACOM_LNC002159)". The record is from RNAcentral. Lineage: Eukaryota; Viridiplantae; Streptophyta; Magnoliopsida; Poales; Bromeliaceae.
UAACUAAAAACUCAAGUAAAAUUAAAUCAAGAUAAAAACUGCACAACCAAAUAAAAGAAGAAAAUCAAACUUAGAUAACACAAAUGAUUUAUUCUGGUUCAGCCUUUCUGCCUACUCCAGUCCAGUCCUUAUUCUCCUCGAGGUACCGAUCUCACUAUCACUUGGCCUUUUGAACAGAGCAAGACCAAAGCCGCUUACAAUCACACAAGACUUCUUUUACAACCUCUCAAGAAACUCAUAAUUACAAAUCAAUGAAUAAUUAGGACUUAGAGAAUUUUUAUGAAGUUGUGUCACAAACAACA